AUACGGAGGGUGCAAGCGUUGUCCGGAUUUAUUGGGUUUAAAGGGUGUGUAGGCGGUGUAUUAAGUCAGUGGUGAAAGCCUGCGGCUCAACCGUAGAACUGCCAUUGAUACUGACACACUAGAGUAUGGACGAGGUAGGCGGAAUUUAUGGUGUAGCGGUGAAAUGCAUAGAUACCAUAAAGAACACCGAUAGCGAAGGCAGCUUACUAGGCCAUAACUGACGCUGAGGCACGAAAGCGUGGGGAGCGAACAGGAUUAGAUACCCCGGUAGUCC
Molecule: ribosomal RNA, 274 nt
Filed under: uncultured bacterium
Lineage: Bacteria
Description: partial 16S ribosomal RNA
Rfam family: Bacterial small subunit ribosomal RNA
Source: RNAcentral